This 52-nucleotide small RNA is filed under the name Caenorhabditis elegans. Its description in RNAcentral is "Unclassified non-coding RNA K02F2.9". The record is from RNAcentral. Lineage: Eukaryota; Metazoa; Nematoda; Chromadorea; Rhabditida; Rhabditidae.
UCGUCUUCGUUUAAAGUAGGGUUGUUUUUGAAUGAAGAGGAUAAGAUUUGAA